Trifolium pratense (red clover) is the source of this 431-nucleotide long non-coding RNA. RefSeq lists it as uncharacterized. Lineage: Eukaryota; Viridiplantae; Streptophyta; Magnoliopsida; Fabales; Fabaceae. The transcript has 2 exons. The record is from RefSeq and is a predicted model, not a curated record.
UAAAGUGCAAAAAACUAUUUAAUUUAAUAGAUGUAAUGAGAGGAUUAGCUCUAUAAAUUAUAAAGCUGAAAAAAAACUUACAUGCAAAAAGAGGCGGAGGAAUAUGGCUGGAAUUGUCAAAUUUGUUUGUGUUAUGACUAUCUUUUUCUUUCUAAUUAUUUUUCCAACAAAUGUUUACGCCGCUAUUAGAUGUCACAAGACUUCCAGUUGUCCAAGAAGCAUGCGUUGCAUCGUUGGUUUUCAAUUGAGUUGUAUAAUGCAACAAUGUAAAUGUAUUAAAGUCUCGACCACAAUAGAUUUUGUACCCACAUGAUUAUAUAUUUUGCAAGACAUAUUGCCAAAUUAUAUAAUGAUUAAAUAGCUAAAUGGAAAGAUAUAAAUAAAUAUUAAUAGUUAAACGGUUGAAAAUAGAGAUCUUUUAUUGCACAUAA